This 253-nucleotide ribosomal RNA is filed under the name uncultured Longilinea sp. Its description in RNAcentral is "partial 16S ribosomal RNA". It matches the Rfam family "Bacterial small subunit ribosomal RNA", at positions 524 to 776 of the family's 1533-position model. Lineage: Bacteria; Bacillati; Chloroflexota; Anaerolineae; Anaerolineales; Anaerolineaceae. The record is from RNAcentral.
GACGUAGGAGGCGAGCGUUAUCCGGAUUUACUGGGCGUAAAGCGCGUGCAGGCGGUUCGGCAAGUUGGAUGUGAAAGCUCCUGGCUCAACUAGGAGAGGUCGUUCAAUACUACCGAACUUGAGGGCAUCAGAGGAAGGUGGAAUUCCCGGUGUAGUGGUGAAAUGCGUAGAUAUCGGGAGGAACACCAGUGGCGAAGGCGACCUUCUGGGAUGUUCCUGACGCUCAGACGCGAAGGCUAGGGUAGCAAACGGG